RNAcentral lists this ribosomal RNA (253 nucleotides) under uncultured bacterium. Its description in RNAcentral is "partial 16S ribosomal RNA". It matches the Rfam family "Bacterial small subunit ribosomal RNA", at positions 524 to 776 of the family's 1533-position model. The record is from RNAcentral.
UACGUAGGUGGCAAGCGUUGUCCGGAAUUAUUGGGCGUAAAGCGCGCGCAGGCGGUCCUUUAAGUCUGAUGUGAAAGCCCACGGCUCAACCGUGGAGGGUCAUUGGAAACUGGAGGACUUGAGUGCAGAAGAGGAGAGUGGAAUUCCACGUGUAGCGGUGAAAUGCGUAGAGAUGUGGAGGAACACCAGUGGCGAAGGCGGCUUUCUGGUCUGUAACUGACGCUGAGGCGCGAAAGCGUGGGGAGCAAACAGG